This 813-nucleotide ribosomal RNA is filed under the name Microsporum ferrugineum. Its description in RNAcentral is "eukaryotic LSU rRNA". It matches the Rfam family "Eukaryotic large subunit ribosomal RNA", at positions 85 to 912 of the family's 3401-position model. The record is from RNAcentral. Lineage: Eukaryota; Fungi; Ascomycota; Eurotiomycetes; Onygenales; Arthrodermataceae.
AACGGCGAGUGAAGCGGCAAGAGCUCAAAUUUGAAAUCUGGCCUCCUUGGGGGGUCCCGAGUUGUAAUUUGUAGAGGAUGCUUCGGGUGUGGCCGCCGUCUAAGUUCCUUGGAACAGGACGUCGUAGAGGGUGAGAAUCCCGUCUUGGGCGGCCGGUCCGCGCCCGUGUGAAGCUCCUUCGACGAGUCGAGUUGUUUGGGAAUGCAGCUCUAAGCGGGUGGUAAAUUUCAUCUAAAGCUAAAUACUGGCCGGAGACCGAUAGCGCACAAGUAGAGUGAUCGAAAGGUUAAAAGCACCUUGAAAAGGGAGUUAAACAGCACGUGAAAUUGUUGAAAGGGAAGCGCUUGCGGCCAGACUCGAGGGGCGGGGUUCAGCGGGUGCGCGUCACCCGUGCACUCCCCGUUCCCCCGGGCCAGCAUCAGUUUCGACGGCCGGUCAAAGGCCCCCGGAAUGUGUCGUCUCUAGGGACGUCUUAUAGCCGGGGGUGCAAUGCGGCCCGCCGGGACCGAGGAACGCGCUCCGGCUCGGAUGCUGGCGUAAUGGCCGUAAGCGGCCCGUCUUGAAACACGGACCAAGGAGUCUAACAUCCACGCGAGUGUUCGGGUGUCAAACCCGUGCGCGCAGUGAAAGCGAACGGAGGUGGGAGCCCUAGGGCGCACCAUCGACCGAUCCUGAAGUCUUCGGAUGGAUUUGAGUAGGAGCGUGGCCGUUGGGACCCGAAAGAUGGUGAACUAUGCCUGAAUAGGGUGAAGCCCAAGGAAACUCUGGUGGAGGCUCGCAGCGGUUCUGACGUGCAAAUCGAUCGUCAAAUUU